RNAcentral lists this ribosomal RNA (426 nucleotides) under uncultured bacterium. RNAcentral's name for it is "bacterial SSU rRNA". It matches the Rfam family "Bacterial small subunit ribosomal RNA", at positions 356 to 773 of the family's 1533-position model. The record is from RNAcentral.
GGGGAAUCUUGCGCAAUGGACGAAAGUCUGACGCAGCCACGCCGCGUGAGUGAAGAAGGCCUUCGGGUUGUAAAGCUCUGUCGGAAGGGACAAAAACGUUUAGGGUUAAUAGCCCUAGAUCUUGAUGGUACCUUUAAAGGAAGCACCGGCUAACUUCGUGCCAGCAGCCGCGGUAAUACGAAGGGUGCAAGCGUUGCUCGGAAUUAUUGGGCGUAAAGGGUAGGUAGGUGGUUACGUAUGUCUGAGGUGAAAGCCCCAAGCUCAACUUGGGAAGUGCCUUGGAAACGGCGUAACUAGAGUACUGGAGAGGUUCGUGGAAUUCCUGGUGUAGCGGUGAAAUGCGUAGAGAUCAGGAGGAACACCGGAGGCGAAGGCGGCGAACUGGACAGUAACUGACACUCAACUACGAAAGCGUGGGUAGCAAAC